GUGGGGAAUAUUGGACAAUGGGCGCAAGCCUGAUCCAGCAAUGCCGCGUGUGUGAAGAAGGUCUUCGGAUCGUAAAGCACUUUCGACGGGGACGAUGAUGACGGUACCCGUAGAAGAAGCCCCGGCUAACUUCGUGCCAGCAGCCGCGGUAAUACGAAGGGGGCUAGCGUUGCUCGGAAUUACUGGGCGUAAAGGGCGCGUAGGCGGCUCUGUGAGUCAGGCGUGAAAUUCCUGGGCUUAACCUGGGGACUGCGCUUGAUACUGCAGGGCUUGAGGCCGAGAGAGGGUGGUGGAAUUCCCAGUGUAGAGGUGAAAUUCGUAGAUAUUGGGAAGAACACCGGUGGCGAAGGCGACCACCUGGCUCGGUACUGACGCUGAGGCGCGACAGCGUGGGGAGCAAACAGGAUUAGAUACCCUAGUAGUCC
Molecule: ribosomal RNA, 425 nt
Filed under: uncultured bacterium
Lineage: Bacteria
Description: bacterial SSU rRNA
Rfam family: Bacterial small subunit ribosomal RNA
Source: RNAcentral